Molecule: long non-coding RNA, 7305 nt
Filed under: Sorghum bicolor (sorghum)
Lineage: Eukaryota; Viridiplantae; Streptophyta; Magnoliopsida; Poales; Poaceae
Description: long non-coding RNA (SBIC_LNC010495)
Source: RNAcentral
GACCUCGACCAGGACACAAACUCAACACUACGGACUCUGAAACUGAAAUAUGCAAAGGCUAUGGCGCGGAUGGGUUGUAGGACAUGAAAACAAUAUGGCACCAGACUUAUGGGACGAACACAAGGACACUCGAAACUAAGGGUAGAUGUGAACCUAACGUUAUGUCUGAAGCUUUGAUUACCACUUGAGGAGAAUAAGUGUGGCCCGAUCUUCCGAAAGUUUCUGGCAACUAUCGAUUUGGUGGAAAAGAGACACAAAUCAAUCCAGCUUGCGAACAACACGGUUCGAAACCUGCAAUUCUUUUUAUUUUUUUUUGAUAUUUUUCUUUUACUUAGGAGCACUCAAGAAGUAACCACAGGAAAUUUGAGCUUGAACAAGAGAAAGACGUGGCCUGUGGAAACUUUUGAAGAUUGCGAAAAAUAUAAAAAAAACUUUAGGAGGUGAAAACUCAAACUUCAGAGGCGAAUUUGGGGAUUCUAAAUUUGUCAAACCCGCAACUGCGGGCAUAGACAGACCCAAAAAUUUUUUCUGAUCGAUUUUGAUAUAUGGAACGUCAAAAUCGGAGUUCGUAUGCGAAAGUUAUGGCUGUUUUACGAACGGACUCCGAAUUAGAGGACAAAACAGUCCGGAAGUGGGAAAAUUUGCGGCGGUGGCUAUAAAUUGAUGGAAACGUUGGGAAGAAACACACAAAUUGGACUCUAACAAGAUCUAACCAGUAACAAGACCUCGACCAGGACACAAACUCAACACUAUGAACUCGGAAACUGAAAUAUGCAAAGGCUAUGGCGCGGAUGGGUUGUAGGACAUGAAAACAAUAUGGCACCAGACUUAUGGGACGAACACAAGGACACUCGAAACUAAAGGGUAGAUGUGAAGCUAACGUUAUGUCUGAAGCUUUGAUUACCACUUGUGGAGAAUAACUGUGGCCCGAUCUUCCGAAAGUUUCUGGCAACUAUCGAUUUGGUGGAAAAGAGACACAAAUCAAUGCAGCUUGCGAACAAAACGUUUCGAAACCUGCAAUUCUUUUUUUUUGAUAUUUUUCUUUUACUUAGGAGCACUCAAGAAGUAACCACAGUUAAUUUGAGCUUGAACAAGAGAAAGACGUGGCCUGUGGAAACUUUUGAAGAUUGCGAAAAAUAUAAAGAAAACUUUAGGAGGUGAAAACUCAAACUUCAGAGGCGAAUUUGGGGAUUCUAAAUUUGUCGAACCCGUCAUUGCGGGCAUAGACAGACCCAAAAAUUUUUUCUGAUCGAUUUUGAUAUAUGGAACGUCAAAAUCGGAGUUCGUAUGCGAAAGUUAUGGCUGUUUUACGAACGGACUCCGAAUUAGAGGACAAAACGGUCCGGAAGUGGGAAAAAUUUGCGAUGGUGGCUACAAAUUGAUGGAAACAGUGGGAAAAAAACUGGACUGUAAGAAGACCUAACCAGUAACAAGACCUAGACUAGGACAAAAACUCAACACUACGGACUCUGAAACUGAAAUAUGCAAAGGCUAUGGCGCGGAUGGGUUGUAGGACAUGAAAACAAUAUGUCACUAGACUUAUGCGACGAACACAAGGACACUUGAAACUAAGGGUAGAUGUAAACCUAACAGCAUGUCUGAAGCAUUGAUUACCACUUGAGGAGAACAAGUGUAGCCCGAUCUUCCGAAAGUUUCUGGCAACUAUCGAUUUGGUGGAAAAGAGACACAAAUCAAUCCAGCUUGCGAACAACACGGUUCGAAACCUGCAAUUCUUUUUUUUGUUCUGAUAUUUUUAUUUUGCUUAGGAGCACUUAAGAAGUAACCACACGAAAUUUGAGCUUGAACAAGUGAAAGACGUGGCCUGUGGAAAUUUUUGAAGAUUGCGAAAAAUAUAAAGAAAAUUUUAGGAGGUGAAAACUCAAACUUCAGAGGCGAAUUUGGGGAUUCUAAAUUUGUCGAACCCGCAAAAGCGGGCAUAGACAGACUCAAAAAUUUUUUCUGAUCGAUUUUGAUAUAUGGAACGUCAAAAUCGGACUUCGUAUGCGAAAGUUAUGGCUGUUUUACGAACGGACUCCGAAUUCGACGACAAAAUAGUCCGGAAGUGGGAAAAUUUGCGGCGGUGGCUAUAAAUUGAUGGAAACGGUGGGAAGAAACACACAAAUUGGACUCUAACAAAACCUAACUAGUAACAAGACCUCGAUGAGGACACAAACUCAACACUACGGACUCUGAAACUGAAAUAUGCAAAGGCUAUGGCGCGGAUGGGUUGUAGGACAUGAAAACAAUAUGGCACCAGACUUAUGGGACGAACACAAGGACACUCGAAACUAAGGGUAGAUGUAAACCUAACGUUAUGUCUGAAGCUUUGAUUACCACUUGAGGAGAAUAAGUGUGGCCCGAUCUUCCGAAAGUUUCUGGCAACUAUCGAUUUGGUGGAAAAGAGACACAAAUCAAUCCAGCUUGCGAACAACACGGUUCGAAACCUGCAAUUCUUUUUUUUGUUCUGAUAUUUUUAUUUUGCUUAGGAGCACUCAAGAAGUAACCACACGAAAUUUGAGCUUGAACAAGAGAAAGACGUGGCCUGUGGAAAUUUUUGAAGAUUGCGAAAAAUAUAAAGAAAACUGUAGGAGGUGAAAACUCAAACUUCAGAGGCGAAUUUGGGGAUUUUAAAUUUGUUGAACCCGCCAGAGCGGGCAUAGACAGACCCAAAAAUUUUUUCUGAUCGAUUUUGAUAUAUGGAACGUCAAAAUCGGACUUCGUAUGCGAAAGUUAUGGCUGUUUUACGAACGGACUCCGAAUUCGACGACAAAAUAGUCCGGAAGUGGGAAAAUUUGCGGCGGUGGCUAUAAAUUGAUGGAAACGGUGGGAAGAAACACACAAAUUGGACUCUAACAAGACCUAACCAGUAACAAGACCUCGAUGAGGACACAAACUCAACACUACGGACGCUGAAACUGAAAUAUGCAAAGGCUAUGGCGCGGAUGGGUUGUAGGACAUGAAAACAAUAUGGCACCAGACUUAUGGGACGAACACAAGGACACUCGAAACUAAGGGUAGAUGUAAACCUAACGUUAUGUCUGAAGCUUUGAUUACCACUUGAGGAGAAUAAGUGUGGCCCGAUCUUCCGAAAGUUUCUGGCAACUAUCGAUUUGGUGGAAAAGAGACACAAAUCAAUCCAGCUUGCGAACAACACGGUUCGAAACCUGCAAUUCUUUUUAUUUUUUUUUAUAUUUUUCUUUUACUUAGGAGCACUUAAGAAGUAACCACAGGAAAUUUGAGCUUGAACAAGUGAAAGACGUGGCCUGUGGAAACUUUUGAAGAUUGCGAAAAAUAUAAAGAAAAUUUUAGGAGGUGAAAACUCAAACUUCAGAGGCGAAUUUGGGGAUUUUAAAUUUGUCGAACCCACAACAGCGGGCAUAGACAGACCCAAAAAUUUUUUCUGAUCGAUUUUGAUAUAUGGAACGUCAAAAUCAGAGUUCGUAUGCGAAAGUUAUGGCUGUUUUACGAACGGACUCCGAAUUAGAGGACAAAACAGUCCGGAAGUGGGAAAAUUUGCGGCGGUGGCUAUAAAUUGAUGGAAACGUUGGGAAGAAACACACAAAUUGGACUCUAACAAGAUCUAACCAGUAACAAGACCUCGACUAGGACACAAACUCAACACUACGGACUCUGAAACUGAAAUAUGCAAAGGCUAUGGCGCGGAUGGGUUGUAGGACAUGAAAACAAUAUGGCACCAGACUUAUGGGACGAACACAAGGACACUCAAAACUAAGGGUAGAUGUGAAUCUAACAUUAUGUCUGAAGCUUUGAUUACCACUUGAGGAGAAUAAGUGUGGCCCGAUCUUUCGAAAGUUUCUGGCAACUAUCGAUUUGGUGGAAAAGAGACACAAAUCAAUGCAGCUUGCGAACAACACGGUUCGAAACCUGCAAUUCUUUUUAUUUUUUUUUUGAUAUUUAUAUUUUACUUAGGAGCACUCAAGAAGUAACCACAGGAAAUUUGAGCUUGAACAAGAGAAAGACGUGGCCUGUGGAAACUUUUGAAGAUUGCGAAAAAUAUAAAGAAAACUAACUCAAACUUCAGAUGCGAAUUUGGGGAUUGUAAAUUUGUUGAACCCGCCAAUGGAGGGCAUAGACAGACAUCGAUUUUGAUAUAUGGAACGUCAAAAUCGGAGUUCGUAUGCGAAAGUUAUGGCUGUUUUUCGAACGGACUCCGAAUUAGAGGACAAAACAGUCCGGAAGUGGGAAAAUUUGCGGCGGUGGCUAUAAAUUGAUGGAAACGUUGGGAAGAAACAUACAAAUUGGACUCUAACAAGACCUAACCAGUAACAAGACCUCGCGCAGGACACAAACUCAACACUACGGACUCUGAAACUGAAAUAUGCAAAGGCUAUGGCGCGGAUGGGUUGUAGGACAUGAAAACAAUAUAGCACUAGACAUAUGGGACGAACACAAGGACACUCGAAACUAAGGAUAGAUGUGAACCUAACGGUACGUCUGAAGCUUUGAUUACCACUUGAGGAGAACAAGUGUGGCCCGAUCUUCCGAAAGGUUCUGGUAACUAUCGAUUUGGUGGAAACGAGACCCAAAUCAAUCCACCUUGCGAACAACACGAUUUGAAACCCUACAAUUCUUUUUAUUUUUUUAUUUGAUAUUUUUCUUUUACUUAGGAGCACCGAAGAAGUAGCCACAGGAAAUUUGAGCUUAAACAAGUGAAAGACGUGGCCUGUGGAAUUUUUUGUAGAUUGCAAAAAAUAUGAAAAUAAACUUUAGGAGGUGAAAACUCAAACUUCAGAGGCGAAUUUGGGGAUUCUAAAUUUGUCGAACCCGCCUUUGGGGGAUAGACAGACCCAAAAAAUUUUUCUAAUUGAUUUUGAUAUAUGGAACGUCAAAAUCGGAGUUCGUAUGCGAAAGUUAUGGCUGUUUUACGAACGGACUCCGAAUUAGAGGACAAAACAGUCCGGAAGUGGGAAAAAUUUGCGGCGGUGGUUAUAAAUUGAUGGAAACGGUGGGAAGAAACACACAAAUUGGACUCUAACAAGACCUAACCAGUAACAAGACCUCGACCAGGACACAAACUCAAUACUAUGGACUCUGAAACUGAAAUAUGCAAAGGCUAUGGCGCGGAUGGGUUGUAGGACAUGAAAACAAUAUGGCACCAGACUUAUGGGACGAACACAAGGACACUCGAAACUAAGGGUAGAUGUGAACCUAACGGUAUGUCUGAAGCUUUGAUUACCACUUGAGGAGAAUAAGUGUGGCCCGAUCUUCCGAAAGGUUCUGGUAACUAUCGAUUUGGUGGAAAAGAGACACAAAUCAAUAUAGCUUGCGAACAACACGGUUCGAAACCUACCAUUCUUUUUAUUUUUUUGAUAUUUUUCUUUUACUUAGGCGCACUCAAGAAGUAACCACAGGAAAUUUGAGCUUAAACAAGUGAAAGACGUGGCCUAUGGGAUUUUUUGAAGAUUGCGAAAAAUAUAAAAAAAACUUUAGGAGGUCAAAACUCAAACUUCAGGGGCGAAUUUGGGGAUUCUAAAAUUAUUGAACCCGCCUCUAGCAGAGAUAGAUAGAUCCAAAAAUUUGUUCUGAUCGAUUUUGAUAUAAGGAACGUCAAAAUCGGAGUUCGUAUGCGAAAGUUAUGGCUGUUUUACGAACGGACUCCGAAUUAGAGGACAAAACCGUCCGGAAGUGGGAAAAAUUUGCGGUGGUGGCUAGAAAUUGAUGGAAACGGUGGAAAAAAAACACACAAACUGGACUUAAACAAGACCUAACUAGUAACGAGACCUCGACCAGGACAAAAACUAAAAACUACGGAUUCUGAAACUGAAAAUAUGCAAAGGCUAUAGCGCGGAUGGGUUGUAGGACAUGAAAACAAUAUGACACUAGACUUAUGAGACGAACACAAGGACACUCGAAACUAAGGGUAGAUGUGAACCUAACGGUAUGUCUGAUGCUUUGAUUACCACUUGAGGAGAACAAGUGUGGCCCGAUCUUCCAAAAGGUUCUGGAAACUAUCGAUUUCGUGGAAACGAGACACAAAUCAAUCCAGCUUGCGAACAACACGAUUCGAAACCCUACAAUUCUUUUUAUUUUUUUUGAUAUUUUUCUUUUACUUAGGAGCACUCAAGAAGUAACCAUAGGAAAUUUGAGCUUAAACAAGUGAAAGACGUGAGCUGUGGAAACUUUUGAAAAUUGCAAAAAAUAUAAAAAAACUUUUAGAGGUGAAAACACAAACUUCAGAGGCGAAUUUGGGGAUUCUAAAAUUGUCAAACCCGCACACGGCGGGGAUAGACAGAUCCAAAAUUUUGGUUUCAUCGAUUUUGAUUUAUGGAACGUCAAAAUCGGAGUUCGUAUGCGAAAAUUAUGGCUGUUUUACGAACGGACACCGAAUUAGAAGACAAAACGGUCCGGAAGUGGGAAAAAUUUGCGGCGGUGGCUAGAAAUUGAUGGAAACGGUGGGAAGAAACACACAAAUUGGACUCUAACAAGACCUAACCAGUAACAAGAUCUCGACCAGGACACAAACUCAACACUACGGACUCUGAAACUGAAAUAUGCAAAGGUUAUGGCGCGGAUGAGUUGUAGGACAUGAAAACAAUAUAGCACUAGACUUAUGCGACAAACACAAGGACACUCGAAACUAAGGAUAAAUGUGAACCUAACGGUACAUCUGAAGCUUUGAUUACCACUUGAGGAGAACAAGUGUGGCCCGAUCUUCCGAAAGGUUCUGGUAACUAUCGAUUUGGUGGAAACGAGACCCAAAUCAAUCCACCUUGCGAACAACACGAUUCGAAACCCUACAAUUCUUUUUAUUUUUUUUAUUUGAUAUUUUUAUUUUACUUAGGAGCACCGAAGAAGUAGCAACAGGAAAUUUGAGCUUGAACAAGUGAAAGACGUGGCCUGUGGAAUUUUUUGUAGAUUGCGAAAAAUAUGAAAAUAAACUUUAGGAGGUGAAAACUCAAACUUUAGAGGCGAAUUUGGGUAUUCUAAAUUUGUCGAACCCGGCUUUCGCGGGGAUAGACAGACCCAAAAAAAUUUUCUGAUUGAUUUUGAUAUAUGGAACGUCAAAAUCGCAGUUCGUAUGCGAAAGUUAUGGCUGUUUUACGAACGGACUCCGAAUUAGAGGACAAAACAGUCCGGAAGUGGGAAAAAUUUGCGGCGGUGGCUAUAAAUUGAUGGAAACGGUGGGAAGAAACACACAAAUUGGACUCUAACAAGACCUAACCAGUAACAAGACCUCGACCAGGACACAAACUCAACACUACGGACUCUGAAACUGAAAUAUGCAAAGGCUAUGGCGCAGAUGGGUUGUAGGACAUGAAAACAGUAUGGCACCAGACUUAUGGG